AGCCCCUUCAUCUAGUGGCCAAGGAUAGCGGGCUUUGGACCCGCACACAUCGGUUCGAAUCCGAUAGGGGCUA
RNAcentral lists this transfer RNA (73 nucleotides) under Microcaldota archaeon. RNAcentral's name for it is "tRNA-Gln". It matches the Rfam family "tRNA". From Rfam's summary of the family: Transfer RNA (tRNA) molecules are approximately 80 nucleotides in length. Their secondary structure includes four short double-helical elements and three loops (D, anti-codon, and T loops). The record is from RNAcentral. Lineage: Archaea; Nanobdellati; Microcaldota.